AUUGAACGCUGGCGGCAUGCCUUACACAUGCAAGUCGAACGGCAGCAUGAUCUAGCUUGCUAGAUUGAUGGCGAGUGGCGAACGGGUGAGUAAUACAUCGGAACGUGCCCUGUAGUGGGGGAUAACUAGUCGAAAGAUUAGCUAAUACCGCAUACGACCUGAGGGUGAAAGUGGGGGACCGUAAGGCCUCAUGCUAUAGGAGCGGCCGAUGUCUGAUUAGCUAGUUGGUGGGGUAAAGGCCCACCAAGGCGACGAUCAGUAGCUGGUCUGAGAGGACGAUCAGCCACACUGGGACUGAGACACGGCCCAGACUCCUACGGGAGGCAGCAGUGGGGAAUUUUGGACAAUGGGGGCAACCCUGAUCCAGCAAUGCCGCGUGUGUGAAGAAGGCCUUCGGGUUGUAAAGCACUUUUGUCCGGAAAGAAAUCGCACUUACUAAUAUUAGGUGUGGAUGACGGUACCGGAAGAAUAAGGACCGGCUAACUACGUG
RNAcentral lists this ribosomal RNA (490 nucleotides) under uncultured bacterium. RNAcentral's name for it is "partial 16S ribosomal RNA". It matches the Rfam family "Bacterial small subunit ribosomal RNA", at positions 30 to 507 of the family's 1533-position model. The record is from RNAcentral.